RNAcentral lists this transfer RNA (71 nucleotides) under Fejervarya cancrivora (crab-eating frog). RNAcentral describes it as "tRNA-Gly". It matches the Rfam family "tRNA". Rfam says of the family: Transfer RNA (tRNA) molecules are approximately 80 nucleotides in length. Their secondary structure includes four short double-helical elements and three loops (D, anti-codon, and T loops). Lineage: Eukaryota; Metazoa; Chordata; Amphibia; Anura; Dicroglossidae. The record is from RNAcentral.
UAUUCUCUUAGUACAACCAGUACCAGUGACUUCCAAUCACUUAAUCUUGGUUAAAACCCAAGAGAGAAUAU